Molecule: long non-coding RNA, 366 nt
Filed under: Setaria italica (foxtail millet)
Lineage: Eukaryota; Viridiplantae; Streptophyta; Magnoliopsida; Poales; Poaceae
Description: long non-coding RNA (SITA_LNC005804)
Source: RNAcentral
GGGCAGCAGGGCAUGCAGGGAGGUACAGUGCCCGCCCUCAAUGUCACCUUCCAAUGAGACAUAAUUCCUGCAAGCAAGGUCACCAAGGAAAAAGGCUUGAUCAAUAUUUCUCCAGGAAAAGAACGGCAUUUACAAUGCCUACUGGCAUCACAAAAGGACCUCAGGGAAAGUGUAACAAUCACCUCGUAUAUAAGCAAGCAAGUGUGAGCAGCAUAGAAUGCAUGAAGCUACUCAGUCUUGGAAACUUUUGGAACCAAUCGGUUCCUAGUUUUAGGUAACCGAAAUCUGCUAAAACCUGAAGAACCGAUCGGUUCAGUUCGCUCAGACUGAGCGCCCACCCCUUGCUACUCUGUUGAUCUAGAUGAG